Molecule: non-coding RNA, 696 nt
Organism: Camellia sinensis
Lineage: Eukaryota; Viridiplantae; Streptophyta; Magnoliopsida; Ericales; Theaceae
Source: RefSeq, a predicted model, not a curated record
UGCUUCUCUCAAUCGAAAUCUAAAAAACCCAAUCAAAAAAUUCUCUCCGAUUCUCGAAAUUCUCUGUUUCCUCGAAUUCAAACCGUAGUUCUUCGUUCGAACAUUCGAAGAUCUAUUGCAAUUUAAUAGUUGUUGUUGAUCAUUGAUUGCGUGAAAGGGCUUCGAGAAUGUUCAACGGAAUGAUGGAUCCUGAAUUGAUGAGACUCACCCAAGAGCAGAUGAGUCGCAUGUCGCUCGCUGAGAUGGCCAGGAUUCAACAACAGAAGUUGACAGAGCAGCUGGAUUGAUUGCAACUCCUGUGACCAAUCAAAAGAAAUAGCCAGCUAUAGGGACUAUAAUGCAUUCCCCAUCCAUAAUGAUCAACAUCAUGGAGUUUCUUAAGAAGCAAGGUUUCAAAGGACAAUUUAGAGGAGGAGGUAUCCCAUGAACUCGUACAUCGCCUUUUCGAUUGGAUUACUCUGCGCAUACGUUAUCAAAAAGUUAUACUUUGGCAGAUUGGUUUUUGAUAACGUUUGGAAGUAUACUUGCAAAUGAAGAUCAACUGUUGAAUUUUGUUUCCUGAACUGAUACUUAGUUGUAGUUGCAAAUCAAGAUUGAGUGUUGAUUUUUUUUUGUGGAUUCCACGUUAGUUCAUUUUAGGAUUUGCUUUGAUGGUUUUUUUGUUAUACUUAAUGGUUUAUAUUAUUAAAGUUGUUU